GCAGCCGCCCGAGGCCCUGCUGGGCGGGUCGGGGUGGAAAGGAGUCUGGAGUCCGCAGAAGCCUCCUCCUUUCCUGGCUUCACCUGCUCCUCCUGGUGUCUCUCCGUGGAGUCGGCGGGGAGGAGCCGCGGAAGCCGGGGCAGCCGUGACUGCACCAGGAAGAACAGCUCAGGCGUGGGCACGUGGGCUGUGAGCCCAGCCGAGAUCGCUGCCAGCACAGAGGUCCAAUCCACCCCGCGUCAGGGCCUGGACCAUGGGCCUGAGGUGUGGGUGGGGGAGAUGCCAAGACCAGAAGGAGGGUGUCAACAGAGCAUCAGGAGGCACUGACCCCAGAGCCCCUCCACGUCCCCGGGAACGGCCGGCCCCCCGUCGCCGCCGAGGGCCCUCGGCCAGGAUGGACAGCCAGGGGAAGGCUGCUUGUCUCCACGCCUCUCCGACGGCUCUUCUUCCGGCCCCUCCAGCCCAGGUGGAAUCCUUGAAGCUGGAGUCAGGACUGCCGGGCUUGCGGAGACAUGGGCUCCCCAGGAAGUGCUGAGCCCAUGAUCAGAGCUGCACCCCCACAAGAAGUCACCAUGUGGAUCCCCAGAGGGGAUACUCCGGAAGUGCUUCCAUUCGGCCACCAGCAGCUGUGAUGUCCCCUGACCAUGCAUCCUGGGUCCCAGGGGAUGGUGGGUAGGGGAGCCAGGCGAGGAAGUGAGUCACAGCCCUGUGGGGUGAGCUCCCCGAGGGGAAGGGAUUGCGUAGAGUACUUGGGGGAAUUUGUGAGCCUUCAAGCUGGCCUCUGCUGCGACAGGGGCCAGCAGCCUCGUCCGCUCUGUAGUCCACUCCGGCUGCUCCCUGUAGCCAGGGGUGCGGCAUGGCAGGAACAGGCCACAGGGCAAGGGAGGAGUGUGGUGGGCUCAGAAGGCUCUGGGGAGAGGGUGCCUUGCUCCUGGUGCUGAAAGGACAGCGCCCGGCUUGGGCAGAGGCCGCGCCAAGUCCUGGCGGAAGCUUUUCCGCAAACUGGAGUGGGGCGUCAUGUGCAUCUGAAUUUUUCCACUCCUCUUCUCUGGAGCCUGUCAGUGCCGUCUUGGCAAAGAUGGUUUGAGCCUGAAAGCUUUUCCCAUCUAUUUUUAAAUAAAUGGAAUUCCUGUCACUUGCAUGAAAUUCACCCCAA
This 1156-nucleotide long non-coding RNA is filed under the name Sus scrofa (pig). Its description in RNAcentral is "lncRNA (ENSSSCG00005034119.1, ENSSSCG00065027909.1)". Lineage: Eukaryota; Metazoa; Chordata; Mammalia; Artiodactyla; Suidae. The record is from RNAcentral.